GAGUUUGAUCCUGGCUCAGAGCGAACGCUGGCGGCAGGCUUAACACAUGCAAGUCGAACGCAUCCUUCGGGGUGAGUGGCAGACGGGUGAGUAACACGUGGGAACGUACCCUUCGAUCUGGGAUAACUUCGGGAAACUGGAGCUAAUACCGGAUACGCCCUUUUGGGGAAAGGUUUACUGUCGAAGGAUCGGCCCGCGUCUGAUUAGCUAGUUGGUGGGGUAACGGCCUACCAAGGCGACGAUCAGUAGCUGGUCUGAGGGGAUGAUCAGCCACACUGGGACUGAGACACGGCCCAGACUCCUACGGGAGGCAGCAGUGGGGAAUAUUGGACAAUGGGCGCAAGCCUGAUCCAGCCAUGCCGCGUGAGUGAUGAAGGCCUUAGGGUUGUAAAGCUCUUUUGUCCGGGACGAUAAUGACGGUACCGGAAGAAUAAGCCCGGCUAACUUCGUGCCAGCCGCCGCCGU
This 465-nucleotide ribosomal RNA is filed under the name uncultured bacterium. Its description in RNAcentral is "bacterial SSU rRNA". It matches the Rfam family "Bacterial small subunit ribosomal RNA", at positions 9 to 521 of the family's 1533-position model. The record is from RNAcentral.